Molecule: ribosomal RNA, 377 nt
Filed under: uncultured bacterium
Lineage: Bacteria
Description: bacterial SSU rRNA
Rfam family: Bacterial small subunit ribosomal RNA
Source: RNAcentral
AUACGUAGGGGGCAAGCGUUGUCCGGAAUCAUUGGGCGUAAAGGGCGCGUAGGCGGAUAUUUAAGUCUGAUGUGAAAACCUAGGGCUCAACCCUGGGACUGCAUCGGAAGCUGGGUAUCUUGAGGACAGGAGAGGAAAGUGGAAUUCCACGUGUAGCGGUGAAAUGCGUAGAUAUGUGGAGGAACACCAGUGGCGAAGGCGACUUUCUGGACUGUAACUGACGCUGAGGCGCGAAAGCGUGGGGAGCAAACAGGAUUAGAUACCCUGGUAGUCCACGCCGUAAACGAUGAGUGCCAGGUGUAGAGGGUAUCGACCCCUUCUGUGCCGCAGUAAACACAAUAAGCACUCCGCCUGGGGAGUACGGCCGCAAGGCUGAA